AAGGAAUAUUACGGAAACCUACACACGAGUCGAAACUUUGUUUAGUUUUGAGAGAUUUAACUCUCAAAACUUGUUCUUUGCAAACUAGAUAAUAUCAAAUAUACUUUUUCAUAAUGAAACCGAGAACACCGCGUUUUUUGAGUUUUUUAUUGAAGUUUAAUUAUCGCUCAACUCAUUAAUCGCAUUUACCGUUAGGUAAAUGAGGUU
Molecule: unclassified non-coding RNA, 207 nt
Filed under: Lactobacillus sp. CIDCA 8337
Lineage: Bacteria; Bacillati; Bacillota; Bacilli; Lactobacillales; Lactobacillaceae
Description: partial contains 16S-23S intergenic spacer region and 23S ribosomal RNA
Source: RNAcentral